RNAcentral lists this small RNA (654 nucleotides) under Pan troglodytes (chimpanzee). Its description in RNAcentral is "retained intron". Lineage: Eukaryota; Metazoa; Chordata; Mammalia; Primates; Hominidae. The record is from RNAcentral.
GUGAAUGGUAGUGGUGCCUAUGCCAAGGACCUGGCUAUGGUGGCUUCAGACAUGAUGGUUCUCCUGAAGACCUUCUUCAAUUGCCACAAAGAAUUCCAGACAGUUCCAUUCUACAUUUUCUCAGAGUCCUAUGGAGGAAAAAUGGCAGCUGGCAUUGGUCUAGAGCUUUAUAAGGCCAUUCAGCGAGGGACCAUCAAGUGCAACUUUGCGGGGGUUGCCUUGGGUGAUUCCUGGAUCUCCCCUGUUGAUUCGGUGCUCUCCUGGGGACCUUACCUAUACAGCAUGUCUCUUCUCGAAGACAAAGGUCUGGCAGAGGUGUCUAAGGUUGCAGAGCAAGUACUGAAUGCCGUAAAUAAGGGGCUCUACAGAGAGGCCACAGAGCUGUGGGGGAAAGCAGAAAUGAUCAUUGAACAGGUAAAAAGGGGAAACACUCAGAGGCGAGCCUGCUUGGCUUUUUCUGGUGGGUACAGGGCCCAUGGUUGGUGUUGUCAAACUUGGAGUCUACACUGAGGCUCCCCACAUAUCUGCAAAUGAUUGCAUGCUGGAUAGUAAAUCUCUUGGGUCUGAGCAGUGAUGUAGUGGCUCCUUACAGAGUCAGAAAGCCACCCAGGCCUGCAAGACUUGCUUGUCCUUCACUAAAUGUAUGGAUUCUAU